CGAAACACAGAGAGAGAGAGAGAGCGCGCGCGAAAGAGAGAGUGGUGAUUCCGUUUUGCUGUGAGGAGGAAGAAGAUCUGGGUCUUGGAUAGGUCUGCCGUUUACCUUUUGGGUUGGUUCCUUGGAAAUUAUUUAUAAGCUGUUUCCGCUGUGUCCAGAAAUCGGAGAAGCUGAUCCAGGAAUUGGAUUUGCCUAAUCUACAGCAGUGUAAAUUUGGGUUAGGGUAACAGAGCGAAGAGGAAUACCAGGAGUUCGUAGAAGAUGUGCAGCCCUAUCUCACCCAGCCUGGCUCCGACUGUAAAUCUGCCCUCGCUUUUCUCCAAGAAAGGGGCUAGAUUGGCAGAAGUUGUACAGAAGUUGGGAAGAUAAUCCGGAUGUCGGUUUAUUGCAUUCAAGGGCAGUGGCAAGGCAUUUUGUGCGGGUGGAGAUAUAGUGUCUCUAUCAUUUCAGCAAGGAAAACAAAAAGAAGGAAAUAAAUUCAUACAACAGGAAAAAUAAGAUACAUAUUCUAUUCACUAUUUAGUAAGUGAGGUUUUGGCUCUUGGUUCUUGAUCUUUAAAGAGCUUUUGGUUAUUCCUAUGCAGAUUAUGAGGGAACGGAGGAAAUGAGGACCAAAAAGGAGCACAAACUGAUAGGGAGACGAAACUUGCUCCCCCUUCUUUCUUUCUUUGUUAUUUUUCCCCAUGUUUUUGCUUUCUUUAGCUUAGUUUGUUUCUGUUUCAUAUCCUAGAUAAGUGAUACAAAGAGAAUGGGUUUGUAUGAGCAAUUAGGAGUGGCUAAGUGACAGAUUUUGUUUAAGCAAAGUAUGCAUGGCUUCUUUCUCUUUUGUUUGUUGUUGUUGUUCUUAAUAAUGUUGCUUAUGUCUAAGUUGCGAUUGAGAUUGGUGUGUAAUUUCCAUUGUGAUCCAAUAAUAUUGUUCUGAAAUGUAUGAAAAAUGGUCUUCACAUUUGAACAGACUUAGUUUUGCAAGGUCUUCCUUUCUCCUUAUUUGAGGUCUGUGUGUUUGUUUUAUUUUUCUCAGAUAUGGUGGGACUUUUAUCUCUUAAUUGAUUAUUGUGUUGUCAGUGUUUACUUUUCUUUAUGUCUUUAGGCAUUGAAAAUCUGAUCUUUU
Long non-coding RNA from Rosa rugosa (rugosa rose), 1111 nucleotides. RefSeq lists it as uncharacterized. The record is from RefSeq and is a predicted model, not a curated record. The transcript has 4 exons. Lineage: Eukaryota; Viridiplantae; Streptophyta; Magnoliopsida; Rosales; Rosaceae.